CAAUAGCGUAUAUUAACGUUGUUGCAGUUAAAAAGCUCGUAGUUGGAUUUCUGGAGGGAGCGUCGGCCCGUAUUUACGAGUGCGUGACGUCUCUGUCCAUCCUUGCGGGAAGGCACGGCAUUGAUUUAUUGUGUCGGAUCGCAUCAUUUACUGUGAAAAAAUUAGAGUGUUCAAAGCAGGCUUUCGCUUGAAUACAUUAGCAUGGAAUAAUAAGAUAGGACUUUGGUGCUAUUUUGUUGGUUGAGCCUAAAGUAAUGAUUAAUAGGGAUAGUUGGGGGCACCUGUAUUGCGUUGUCAGAGGUGAAAUUCUUGGAUUUACGCAAGACAAACAGCUGCGAAAGCGUCUGCCAAGGAUGUUUUCAUUA
Molecule: ribosomal RNA, 365 nt
Filed under: uncultured eukaryote
Lineage: Eukaryota
Description: partial 18S ribosomal RNA
Rfam family: Eukaryotic small subunit ribosomal RNA
Source: RNAcentral